This 481-nucleotide ribosomal RNA is filed under the name uncultured organism. Its description in RNAcentral is "bacterial SSU rRNA". It matches the Rfam family "Bacterial small subunit ribosomal RNA", at positions 28 to 507 of the family's 1533-position model. The record is from RNAcentral.
GAUGAACGCUAGCGGCAGGCCUAAUACAUGCAAGUCGAGGGGCAGCACGGUAGCAAUACUGGUGGCGACCGGCGCACGGGUGCGUAACACGUAUACAAUCUGCCUUUAACAGGGGGAUAGCCUUUCGAAAGAGAGAUUAAUACCCCAUAACACUUGUCAUGGCAUCAUGAUGGGUUAAAAGCUCCGGCGGUUAAAGAUGAGUAUGCGUCUGAUUAGCUAGUUGGUGAGGUAACGGCUCACCAAGGCGACGAUCAGUAGGGGAUCUGAGAGGACUACCCCCCACACGGAUACUGAGACACGGAUCCGACUCCUACGGGAGGCAGCAGUAAGGAAUAUUGGACAAUGCCCGCAAGGGUGAUCCAGCCAUGCCGCGUGCAGGAAGAAGGCGCUAUGCGUCGUAAACUGCUUUUACACCAGAGAAAACCCUCCUACGUGUAGGAGGCUGAUAGUACGGUGAGAAUAAGCAUCGGCUAACUUCGUG